RNAcentral lists this ribosomal RNA (253 nucleotides) under uncultured bacterium. Its description in RNAcentral is "partial 16S ribosomal RNA". It matches the Rfam family "Bacterial small subunit ribosomal RNA", at positions 524 to 776 of the family's 1533-position model. The record is from RNAcentral.
UACGGAGGGUGCAACCGUUGCUCGGAAUCAUUGGGCGUAAAGCGCACGUAGGCGGCCCAGCAAGUCGGGUGUGAAAGCCCUCGGCUUAACCGAGGAAGUGCAUUCGAAACUACUGAGCUUGAAUACUGGAGAGGAUCGCGGAAUUCCCGGUGUAGAGGUGAAAUUCGUAGAUAUCGGGAGGAACACCAGUGGCGAAGGCGGCGAUCUGGACAGAUAUUGACGCUGAGGUGCGAAAGCGUGGGGAGCAAACAGG